RNAcentral lists this ribosomal RNA (474 nucleotides) under uncultured bacterium. RNAcentral's name for it is "bacterial SSU rRNA". It matches the Rfam family "Bacterial small subunit ribosomal RNA", at positions 335 to 801 of the family's 1533-position model. The record is from RNAcentral.
ACUCCUACGGGAGGCAGCAGUAGGGAAUCUUCCACAAUGGGCGCAAGCCUGAUGGAGCAACACCGCGUGAGUGAAGAAGGGUUUCGGCUCGUAAAGCUCUGUCGUUAAAGAAGAACACGUAUGAGAGUAACUGUUCAUACGUUGACGGUAUUUAACCAGAAAGUCACGGCUAACUACGUGCCAGCAGCCGCGGUAAUACGUAGGUGGCAAGCGUUAUCCGGAUUUAUUGGGCGUAAAGAGAGUGCAGGCGGUUUUCUAAGUCUGAUGUGAAAGCCUUCGGCUUAACCGGAGAAGUGCAUCGGAAACUGGAUAACUUGAGUGCAGAAGAGGGUAGUGGAACUCCAUGUGUAGCGGUGGAAUGCGUAGAUAUAUGGAAGAACACCAGUGGCGAAGGCGGCUACCUGGUCUGCAACUGACGCUGAGACUCGAAAGCAUGGGUAGCGAACAGGAUUAGAUACCCCUGGUAGGAUAGCG